CCUACGGGUGACAGCAGUGGGGAAUAUUGCACAAUGGGGGAAACCCUGAUGCAGCGACGCCGCGUGAGUGAAUAAGUCAUUCCUUAUGUUAAGCUCUAUCAGCAGGGAAGCAAAUGACGGUACCUGAGUAAGAAGCCCCGGCUAACUACGUGCCAGCAGCCGCGGUAAUACGUAGGGGGCAAGCGUUAUCCGGAUUUACUGGGUGGAAAGGGAGCGUAGACGGCAGUGCAAGGCUGGAGUGAAAGGCGGGGGCUCAACCCCCGGACUGCUCUGGAAACUGUACGGCUGGAGUGCAGGAGAGGGAAGGGGAAUUCCUGGUGUAGCGGUGAAAUGCGUAGAUAUCAGGAGGAACACCAGUGGCGAAGGCGGCUUACUGGACUGUAACUGACGUUGAGGCUCGAAAGCGUGGGGAGCAAACAGGAUUAGAUACCCUAGUAGUC
RNAcentral lists this ribosomal RNA (440 nucleotides) under uncultured bacterium. Its description in RNAcentral is "partial 16S ribosomal RNA". It matches the Rfam family "Bacterial small subunit ribosomal RNA", at positions 338 to 795 of the family's 1533-position model. The record is from RNAcentral.